UGUUAGACUUGAAUUAUUGGGAAGUAACUAGAAUAUGUAGUGUAGCGGUGAAAUGCUUAGAUAUUACAUGGAAUACCAAUUGCGAAGGCAGGUUACUAUCAAUAUAUUGACGCUGAUGGACGAAAGCGUGGGGAGCGAACAGGAUUAGAUACCCUGGUAGUCCACGCCGUAAACGAUGGAUACUAGCUGUUCGGAGUAAUCUGAGUGGCUAAGCGAAAGUGAUAAGUAUCCCACCUGGGGAGUACGUUCGCAAGAAUGAAACUCAAAGGAAUUGACGGGGGCCCGCACAAGCGGAGGAGCAUGUGGUUUAAUUCGAUGAUACGCGAGGAACCUUACCAGGGCUUAAAUGGGAGACGACAGAUCUGGAAACAGAUUUUUCUUCGGACGUCUUUCAAGGUGCUGCAUGGUUGUCGUCAGCUCGUGCCGUGAGGUGUCAGGUUAAGUCCUAUAACGAGCGCAACCCCUAUUGUUAGUUGUCAGCGGGUCAUGCCGGGAACUCUAACAAGACUGCCGGUGCAAACCGUGAGGAAGGUGGGGAUGACGUCAAAUCAUCACGGCCCUUACGUCCUGGGCUACACACGUGCUACAAUGGACGGUACAGAGAGCAGCCACUACGCAAGUAGGCGCGAAUCUUCAAAGCCGUUCUCAGUUCGGAUCGGAGUCUGCAACUCGACUCCGUGAAGCUGGAUUCGCUAGUAAUCGCAGAUCAGCCAUGCUGCGGUGAAUACGUUCCCGGGCCUUGUACACACCGCCCGUCAAGCCAUGGAAGCUGGGGGUACCUGAAGUCGGUGACCGCAAGGAGCUGCCUAGGGUAAAACUAGUAACUGGGGCUAAGUCGUAACAAGGUAGCC
This 851-nucleotide ribosomal RNA is filed under the name uncultured bacterium. RNAcentral describes it as "bacterial SSU rRNA". It matches the Rfam family "Bacterial small subunit ribosomal RNA", at positions 634 to 1501 of the family's 1533-position model. The record is from RNAcentral.